AACGAACGCUGGCGGUAUGCCUAACACAUGCAAGCCGAACGAGACCUUCGGGUCUAGUGGCGCACGGGUGCGUAACGCGUGGGAACCUGCCCUUAGGUUCGGAAUAACUCCCCGAAAGGGGUGCUAAUACCGGAUAAUGUCUUCGGACCAAAGAUUUAUCGCCUUUGGAUGGGCCCGCGUUGGAUUAGCUAGUUGGUAGGGUAAAAGCCUACCAAGGCGACGAUCCAUAGCUGGUCUGAGAGGAUGAUCAGCCACACUGGGACUGAGACACGGCCCAGACUCCUACGGGAGGCAGCAGUGGGGAAUAUUGGACAAUGGGCGAAAGCCUGAUCCAGCAAUGCCGCGUGAGUGAUGAAGGCCUUAGGGUUGUAAAGCUCUUUUACCCGGGAUGAUAAUGACAGUACCGGGAGAAUAAGCUCCGGCUAACUCCGUG
Molecule: ribosomal RNA, 433 nt
Filed under: uncultured bacterium
Lineage: Bacteria
Description: partial 16S ribosomal RNA
Rfam family: Bacterial small subunit ribosomal RNA
Source: RNAcentral